Molecule: RNA transcript, 777 nt
Organism: Anolis carolinensis (green anole)
Lineage: Eukaryota; Metazoa; Chordata; Lepidosauria; Squamata; Anolidae
Exons: 3
Source: RefSeq, a predicted model, not a curated record
GGAUUGUGGACUCUCUUGUAGAUAACACUGAAUGCAGGAAGCAUUUGGGACACAACGGGUGCCUUCAUCGAGACCAGCAAGCCCACAGAGAAGAUGGAGAUUCUGCCAGAGAAAGGCCCAACAAAUGCCAUGCCUCCCUUGGACUGCAGCUCCCAUCAUCACCAUCUCCACAAAGGCCCUGGCAGGAGGGAUGGGGGUCCUGGGAGUCGGAGUCCCAGAGGGAGGGGAAGGAAGGAUACGACUGGUGGUAAUUCUCUGGCCUGGCUUUGGCUGGAAUCCAGCCUCACUCUGCUCAAGCCUGCAGUCCUCAAGGAGGGAGGAGCCACGAGAUCCCAUUGGCAAGGCCGAGGGAAUCCCCCCCCUCACCUGGAUUCAUUCAUGUCUGCCUUGCCCUUUUCUGCCAGUUCUCCCACCCCUGAAGGGACCCAGAGCGGUUCCCAACAUACUCAAUGGCAAGAGCUCCAUGCCUUCCACGUCUCCAGCAUCCCAGAUCAGGGUGAAUGGGAGAGAAGCCGAGACCCAACCUCCUCCUGUCAAGGAAUGUCCUUCUUGUGUCUGUAAACAAACCUCUGGGCCCUGCAGAGAUGCCGCUCUCCCAGUCGCCUGCCCAGCUCAAGGGCUCUUUUGCGGCCCCAACACUUCACCUCCUGCCUGCUGUGAACUGGCUGCUCAGUUCAGUCUCCUCUCUUGUAUUUUGGAAUACUCGGCCCUUUGGCCGCCCCGAAUCCCUGCGGGGAGAUGGUGGUGGGGUAUAAAUAAAGUUUUUAAAUUAUUAUU